GACGAACGCUGGCGGCGCGCCUAACACAUGCAAGUCGAGCGAUGAACAUUGAAUGAUCCCUUCGGGGUGAUUUCGAUCGGAUUAGCGGCGAACGGGUGAGUAACGCGUGAGGAACCUGCCUCUUACAACGGGAUAGCCUCGGGAAACCGGGAUUAAUACCGUAUAAGACUCCGACAUCUCCUGAUGAUGAAGUCAAAGCGUUAGCGGUAAGAGAUGGCGUCGCGUCUGAUUAGCUUGUUGGCGGGGUCACGGCCCACCUAGGCGAUGAUCAGUAACCGUCCUGAGAGGGUGGACGGUCACAUUGGAACUGAGACACGGUCCAAACUCCUACGGGAGGCAGCAGUGGGGAAUCUUGCACAAUGGGGGCAACCCUGAUGCAGCGACGCCGCGUGAGCGAUGAAGGUUUUCGAAUCGUAAAGCUCUGUCCUAUGGGAAGAUAAUGACGGUACCAUGGGAGGAAGCCCCGGCUAACUACGUGCCAGCCGCCGCAGUAA
This 494-nucleotide ribosomal RNA is filed under the name uncultured bacterium. RNAcentral describes it as "partial 16S ribosomal RNA". It matches the Rfam family "Bacterial small subunit ribosomal RNA", at positions 28 to 523 of the family's 1533-position model. The record is from RNAcentral.